RNAcentral lists this long non-coding RNA (1039 nucleotides) under Piliocolobus tephrosceles (Ugandan red Colobus). RNAcentral's name for it is "lncRNA (ENSPTEG00000022492.1)". Lineage: Eukaryota; Metazoa; Chordata; Mammalia; Primates; Cercopithecidae. The record is from RNAcentral.
AUGAUACAAAUAUUACAAGUAAAAAAACAAAAAAACGACAGCUUUAUCAAUAACAGUUACAGUAGCAACAAUAGCUACAGUAGCAAUAAUAAUUACACUAGCAAUAAUAAGUGCAGUAACAACAAUAGCUACAGUAUUUUUUUAUUUUAUUUUUUAACUCCUUUAUAAUGUUUUUUGUAUACAUAUGUAUUUAUACAUAUAUUUUUUAAUUAUUUAAAGGAAAACAAUGAAAUUAUAUUAUGUGUGGGUAAUAGUCUUAACUGCUGUAAUUUUAAAAUUUUUAAAAUGUGUGACUAUUCUGUGUCAGUGUUGUUACCACUUACUAAUAUAUGUAAAGAUUGCUAUGGUAAAAAAGAAAAAACAAAUCCAUUUGAAGAUAAUACUACCAAUAAAAAUAUGUUAAUUACAUAUUCUUCGACCGUUAAUAGCUUACCAUGUAAAUUGACAAUUGAAAAAAGUUCUAUAGAUUUAUCACAGAACAUACUAGAGCUAGUCUAUAAAUUAUUAAAAGGGUCAAGGAUAUAUAAAAAAAACAUAUCCUUAGCAUUGUUUUAUUUUCACUUUUUUUAUUCCUAUCUUUCUUUUUUUUUAUUUAUUAUUGCCAUUUGUUUCUUGCCACCUAUUAUAGCGGUUGUUGAUUAUUUAUUGUUUAUUUUUAUAAUAAUACCAGUACUUUCGGUGAUCCUCUUAAACAAUAACAACAAUUCUACAAUAAUGAACGACAUUCCAGAUAAAAAUAUAAAAAAAGAUGCAGUUAUUAAGUCUUUGGUAAAAAAUAAAAAAAUAAAAAAAAUUAAAAAAAUAAAUGAACGAACAAACGAACACAAACAUGAGCUUAAAGAGCUGAUAAUACUGUGUUUUUAUAUUACCUACGUGCUUGUACAAAUUUUUUAAUAAAUAUAGAAUGUGUGUGUUUAUAUCUUCCAUACAUAUACAUGUUUGCUUCUAUUUUUUCAUUCACGAGUUCGUUUAUUUAUUUUAUUUUAUUUUAUUUAUUCUUUAUUAUUUAUUCUUUAUUAUUUAUUAUUUAUUAUUUAUU